This 634-nucleotide long non-coding RNA is filed under the name Cavia porcellus (domestic guinea pig). Its description in RNAcentral is "lncRNA (ENSCPOG00000040221.1)". Lineage: Eukaryota; Metazoa; Chordata; Mammalia; Rodentia; Caviidae. The record is from RNAcentral.
AGCUACCGUGUGGCUAUUUGAUAACCUAAAUAUGUAGGAAAUGAGUUGAUUGUGCUUUUCUGUUCCCAGCCUAAAAAUUUAGUUACUCAGCUGAGUUGGUGUUCUCAUCAGGAACCCAGCAGUCAAAACAAAGCACUGAAUUGAAUCCUGCUGGUUGCUGGAAUUUAGCGGUCCUGGAAGCCAGCUGGCACAGGAUGCACAAAGAAUGCCUCGUUCUAAACGAUCAAGAUGAAAAAAAGAAGCUUGAACUAGACCAGUAGAAAUUACUCAGCCUAUUGACUUCAAACCUACUGGAGGCCGUCUUAUAAUCAGAAGAUUUUGUGGGAGACGUUUCUCUUCUCCAUCUACAAAGAGGUUGUGGUGACACACUAUCUGAUGUUCAACCCUUAUGAUGUCAAAAUAAUAUCAGGAGCACAGUGUAAGAGCUACAGAAUGUAUUUCAGUAGUCACAGAAAGAGACAGUGUUGAAAGAAGUGAGUAGUCUCAAUUUUCUCAUUGCUGGGACAAAAUACAUGAUACCCAAGGUUAAAGGAGGAAAGGUGUGUUUGGCUCACAGUUGUAGAGGUUCAGUCAAUUGUUAGCUGGAUCCAAGGCAGGGUGACAUGGCAGAGGAACAUCACAGGGGUGAAACAUU